Puntigrus tetrazona (Sumatra barb) is the source of this 1530-nucleotide long non-coding RNA. RefSeq lists it as uncharacterized. The transcript is spliced from 3 exons. NCBI's taxonomy places the organism in Eukaryota, Metazoa, Chordata, Actinopteri, Cypriniformes, Cyprinidae. The record is from RefSeq and is a predicted model, not a curated record.
CGGUGUCUGAAACGUUUCAUUCUUGGUAGCAGGGAAAUAUGAUGUGAUUUAAUCUUUGAGCCUCCACCCACCGUUUUUCGUACUCAAAGGAGCUGUAACGCUUCAGUGAGGUCUCUUUAAUAUCUGUGGCCAGAAGACUAAACCAGACUUACCAGAAGAGCAUUACAGAUUUGUACAUUAACUACAGUAACUAGAGAGUCUUCAAGCCUUCCACUUUUUUUAAACGUUGUAUGUUCUUGUACAGUAGUCUCUUUCAUUGCCACAGACCAGUCUUAUCUUGUGUAUAAGGAUAUCUUACAUAAGACAGGAAAUCAGAGGACAGGAUCUGAUUUAAUCACGUCCCUGCGGCAUGGAGCGUUGCACACAGGACGGCCACUAAUGAUGGGACCUGCUCCACUUCAUCAAAGAAAGUGUUUCUCUCUCUCUCUCUCUCUCUCUCUCUCUCUCUCUCUCUCUCUCUCUCUUUCUCCCUGUCUGUCUUGCUCCACUCUCGGAGGAGCAAGGAUUCAAUCCAUUAAAUAUAGACAAGAACGGUCGCACAAUGAAGAACCUUUUCUGACACUCGCCAUUCGACGUUGGAUUAUAAAAUCAGUCUGAAAUCUACAUCUAGCUUCUCAGUGUUCAGAUCAUUGAUGGGAAAAGACCAUCCGCUCACACGGGCUACGACUAUAAAGCAAAUUUCAUUGGUUUUCUGGCCCUAUUACCACUCAGAUCCAUCUGAUUCUGUUAUCCACCAGAGAAGGUGGGGAGGAUCAGAUCAAAGCCUCUGUGGAAGGAGAGAACCUUCUUUGUGAAAAUCUGUCUCAGCAUUGCAAAGCCAAAGAGAUGAAAGGAAGAUUAAUAGAGGUUGACGAUAGCCACUGACACAUUCAGAAAUGACGCAAUCAAAUAAACAACGGCUUAACAUUUAAUACAACCAGAAGAUCUGUGUCGUAUAUUUCUGGAGAAAAAAACAGACGAGUCCAAACACAAGCUAAGAAUUAGGCAUAAACAUACAUCACUAUUCACAAUAAAUUAAUAAUCACAUCCCGCAGGAUCUUUAUACCCCUCCUCCUGCUCCUUCCUUCCUUCCAAAUCUUCAUCCCUUCCUCCCUCUUUCUUUCCAUGGUCAUAAUCAGCGUCAGCAUAACGAAAGGCCCUGUGGAUGGCAUUUUAGUUUAGCACUGUCAAACAAUCCCAGCACUUAGCACUGCGGAAUGACAGCUUGUUCUAUAUCAUCAAAGCGCCUUCACUGAGAAUUUGAAGCGGCCCUGUUAUAGGCAUUUGCUGUGAGUCAGCACAUACAUGACUGCUUCUGAGAACUCAACACUAGUCUAAUAAAGUGUCUUGUUUUGUCUUUCCCUACUAAAAAAACAGCUUAAGCUGGUGCACUGAUUCAGUUUGUUUCCCACUCUGUUCGGUUGCUAGUUUUAGGAAGGUUUUGGGUUCUUUUCAACAAUAUUAACAACAGAAGUGCAACGGAAAUAGCAGAUCUAUUUUUUUUUUUAUAUUGUGCCUUACAUCCGAGUAAAAUUUUAGUUUCACCAAAAG